Molecule: long non-coding RNA, 463 nt
Organism: Stylophora pistillata
Lineage: Eukaryota; Metazoa; Cnidaria; Anthozoa; Scleractinia; Pocilloporidae
Source: RefSeq, a predicted model, not a curated record
GAGGGAGAAACUUAGCGAACUAAGCGCGCUAUCAUAUCAAGGGGGCAAACUCGUUCUCGGCGAUUAAUAAGUUAAGAGCAAGCCUGAUUCCACCAAGAAGAUGUCGGGAGGGUCAGGAAAUUCGUCAACGGAUAAGGAUUAUGGCAGUAGAUGUAAUUGUACGAUUCUGUAAAAAAGCGCUCAGGAGGAACUUCAAGAGCAAAACGGACUAAGAGAAUUGAUGAGGAACUUGAUGAUGCUUCAAGAAACCGAAGAAUUAUCUCUUUGAACUGUUCUUGUGUUCUUCACGCAUACAAGCAUUAGAUGUUGAAAGCAAAAAACAGCGUUGACAGUAGAGAUUUUGUAAUUUUGUCAGAGUUCACCACAGUAUCUUUAGGAACAGUUGUUUGUAUACUCUUCGCACUUAAAAUGAUGCCACGUAGAUUUUGAAUAAAUGUAACACUUGUUUUCUUCGUGCACAUAA